This 492-nucleotide ribosomal RNA is filed under the name uncultured bacterium. RNAcentral's name for it is "partial 16S ribosomal RNA". It matches the Rfam family "Bacterial small subunit ribosomal RNA", at positions 29 to 507 of the family's 1533-position model. The record is from RNAcentral.
AGUGAACGCUGGCGGCAGGCCUAACACAUGCAAGUCGAACGGAAGCACAGUAAGAGUUUGCUCUUAAGGGUGGCGGGGGGCGGACGGGUGAGAAAUAGAUAGGAUACCUCUUAUACGUGGGGGACAACGGAGGGAAAGUUAUGCUAAUACAUAAUAUGACGAACGGGUGAAAUCAGGGGUUAAUCGCACCUUUGGCGACUGUAAGAGCCGGUGCCGGAUUAGCUAGUUGGCGGGGUAAAGGCACACCAAGGCGACGCUACGUAGCUGAUCUGAGAGGAUGAUCAGCCACACUGGAACUGAGACACGGUCCAGACUCCUACGGGAGGCAGCAGUAGGGAAUAUUGCGCAAUGGGCGCAAGCCUGAUCGAGCCACACCGCGUGAGUGAUGAAGGCCUUCGGAUUGUAAAGCCCUGUUGUUAGGAAAGAAAAAAAGCAUGUUAAUACCCCGCUGUUCUGACGGUACCCAAAGAAUAAGCACCGGCUAACUUCGUG